GUGCAGCAGGCGAGAAUUUUUCUCAAUGGGGGCAGCCCUGAAGGAGCGACGCCGCGUGGAGGAUGAAGGCUUUCGGGUUGUAAACUCCUGUCAUUUGAGAACAAGUGUUGGCAAGUAACUACUGCUAGCUUGAUAGUAACAGAAGAGGAAGGGACGGCUAACUCUGUGCCAGCAGCCGCGGUAAUACAGAGGUCCCAAGCGUUGUUCGGAUUCAUUGGGCGUAAAGGGUGCGUAGGUGGCGCGCUAAGUCAGGUGUGAAAUCUCGGGGCUUAACUCCGAAACUGCAUUUGAUACUGGCGUGCUUGAGGACUGGAGAGGAGACUGGAAUUCAUGGUGUAGCAGUGAAAUGCGUAGAGAUCAUGAGGAAGACCAGUGGCGAAGGCGGGUCUCCGGACAGUUCCUGACACUGAGGCACGAAGGCCA
RNAcentral lists this ribosomal RNA (423 nucleotides) under uncultured organism. RNAcentral's name for it is "bacterial SSU rRNA". It matches the Rfam family "Bacterial small subunit ribosomal RNA", at positions 346 to 762 of the family's 1533-position model. The record is from RNAcentral.